AAUCGCCUCUGUAGAGGAACUCGAGAAGCGAUUCCACCUCCUCGUGACUUAACUCCGGCAGCGUAAUGGCUUCCAUUGGAGCCGCUUUGCAACCGUCCGAUUCGAUAGGGCUCUGUGAGCGGAAACGGAAGGGGACGCGGCGAAGCCGGAUUUGAGUUCAAUAUCGGUGUGAAUCCGGUGGCGGAAAGCAGCCGAAAACUCGCCGAGGAGGAGGCAACAUUAAUGGUAGCUUUAUUCGCUGGUUUAUCAGAUUGAAGCUUGUUUAUGAGAUUGAUCAGACACUUAGCUCCGUCGUAGCAUGACCCACAAAUGGUAUUCCGCGGCGGCCGCAAUAUCACCGGCAAGGAGCUGCAGAUUGAGCAGUCCAUAUUCCCUCUUUUCUCCUUCUUCUACAGAGAGAAUUUUCCAAAUCAGCAGCAACCAGAAGAGGGAUGAAUUUGAAACCCGAUGUCUUGGGUUUAAAGAAACAGGAAUAAGUCUCGGCUUAUCCACUUCAUUGUCCUCCCGGUACGACGGCGGGCCUGGGAGCUUGAGAUCGGACGACGGCGGAUUUGUUCUCGUAAUAGUGGUAGACGGCGGCGCCGGAUAGAACCGCCAACGUCAGUGCCUGAGCAUGCAUCCUAUAAAACAAAGAUUCCGAUUAGACGUUUUUUCUUUUGAAAUAAAUGAGAGAUUUGGAGGGGAUGUUAGCUAGCGUGGAUAAGUCGGAGGCUUGGCUUGAGGGGAGUUGUUGAUCGGUAUAGGCGAGGGAUGCUCCGAUCCCAGA
Long non-coding RNA from Cucurbita maxima (winter squash), 766 nucleotides. RefSeq lists it as uncharacterized. The transcript is spliced from 4 exons. NCBI's taxonomy places the organism in Eukaryota, Viridiplantae, Streptophyta, Magnoliopsida, Cucurbitales, Cucurbitaceae. The record is from RefSeq and is a predicted model, not a curated record.